Molecule: long non-coding RNA, 419 nt
Organism: Tripterygium wilfordii
Lineage: Eukaryota; Viridiplantae; Streptophyta; Magnoliopsida; Celastrales; Celastraceae
Exons: 3
Source: RefSeq, a predicted model, not a curated record
UUCAAGUUUCUCUCUCCAGACUCUCACGAGGGGGGACAAUCAUGGAUGGCUCAGAGUCUCAGCUCCCGGACGAGACAAAUCGGAGCCAACGAUUGCAGUUCUAAGCACGACGAUUCAUGGGUCUGAGGGGUUUCGAUAUAAACAAGCAACGUAAAUCAACCGGAUAAUACUGAUUAGGUCAAGAAAAUGUUCUUAUUAGCUUUUCAAUGCUAAGGGUGUUACUUUUCUUUAUUUACUCUGUUUCCUACAAAACCACUUGCAGAACAAUCUCUCCUCAACUGCAAUCUAUGAAGAAACUGAAGCAUAAGAGGCUAAUUUUUUUUGCAUUUGAGGUUCGUUGUCCAUCGAUUUAUGUCAAUUAACUAUGAACUCCAACAAUGGUGUCUGUCACGUGGGAGCAUGGAAGGAAUAGAUCCAAA